Molecule: long non-coding RNA, 677 nt
Filed under: Athene cunicularia (burrowing owl)
Lineage: Eukaryota; Metazoa; Chordata; Aves; Strigiformes; Strigidae
Description: lncRNA (ENSACUG00000003315.1)
Source: RNAcentral
AUCUAAUGAAAUUAAUUAACAAAUUAAUCUUGCCGAAACAGCAAAUACUUCUGGGGGUAUACACGAUGCCUUGAUGACUCAGGACGGGGAACUAACCGUCGUUGAUCCUGCAACCCUUUCUGCAAGGGAGUUUGUCAUUUAUCAGUACGGCAUCUCCAUCCUCCAGUUUCUCAGACUUCACAUUGAUGCUCCAGAAAUUAACCUCUGCGUUGCCUCCAGAAUACCUCCUAGUAACGCCCCGGGCAACGCCUUCAGAAACUCUUUCUUUUAUCAGGAUUCAAAGAACAAUCUCUUCGUUCUAAGGGACUGCCUGAGUUCUGUAGGAAGUUUCCUUCUCCUCCUCGUGCACUGCUUAGCUCACAUCGCUGCUGCUGACUUCAGUCACGAUGCCAACCCACUUUUCCUGAGGCUUUUUUAUCAGGCACUAAAGGCUUGUCUUAGUGAAACAUUCUCUCUCAAACUCCAGCUCUCGGCAGUUUUACACAGUGAUAAAUCUCACGAGAUAAGUCAGAUAUUGCUAAAGGAAGAACCAUUCUCCAAGGAGGAAAUAAAUCUCAUCUCCCAACUUUUUGAGGUGAAAGUGAAAAGUCUCACAGACACGGAAGCCUUUGAGAAGGUAAUAAGAAAGGUCAUGAGACCUAGUCUGGUUGAAAGCUCACCAUCUCUAUUUCCCAGUG